UUUGUACAACACUUACGCCCGGUUUCCGAAAGGCUGAUCAACGCAGAAAUUAACAAAUCAUCUGUCAAAUCUCUUGUUAAGCAUUAAAUGAGUUGCUAAAAGCAUGAUUAACUACUUAAUUUAAUCAUACUGCCAGUUGACAUAGGUGUCAAAUUUGACUCUAGAAUCGAAUGUUAACCGCCAUUUUGGGUUUCUGAAACGCGAAUUAAGCUAUAAUCAUUGAUCAAACGUCUGUCAAACACUCGGUCAACUAAUCGGUGUAUAUCGGUGAAUUAACUUAAGGAAAACAAUUAUUUUCUACGUGAAACUACAUUUUGGUUCUUUAAAGCUUACACAGAUGUCUAUUAUUAUUACCAAGAAGAUACUGGUCAAAGUUCAAUAAAUAAAUGAAAACACUUCUGUGCGGUCAUCUCUAUUAUUGACACAUUUUAAUUGUUAAGUUUUAAAUUUGAUUACUAUCAAUAUAUAAAUAAUAGGGAAUUUAAUAAAAAAAAGGUCAUAAAAAUAUAUAUCUAAAUAUACAUUUGUAGGAACUAUAAAAAAAAUACUUAUAAUUACUUAAUAACUAAAAUUUAAAACAAACUAUUAUAAUUAUAAUUACUUUAUCAUAUUUUCAUACUACUAUUUUCUACUUAAUUAAUGUUUUUUUUUUUAAAUCAGUAUUUUCUGAUACUUUAAUAUUUUUUUCUAAAGAUUUCCUCUUCGUCUUAUUUUCAUCAUAUUGUUUUUUUUAAUAAUAAAAAUAUUAAAUAAAUAAAUAAAUAUCAUAUAACAUACAUGUUUUUAUAAAUAUACAUAGAAAUAAUAGAUAUAUAAAUACAAAUAUUACACCCAGACUCAGACGGGAAUCGAACCCGCAACCCGCGGAACAAAAAGCAGGGCCACUACAAACUGCGCCAACGGGCUAGUCAAUUAUUGUUUUUAGGAACUAUUUUCUUUUUUUGUAUCUUCCUUAAAUGUUAAUAUGAUGCUUUAUUAGAUGUAUCAGUAUUAUCAGAUGUAUUAAAUAGCAUCACAACUAACAGUUUCUGUAGGUUUUGAUACAUCACAAAUAUAUAAAAUAAUAUUUAAUUAUGUUACAUGACCACAUGUUACAAACCGAAUGUCAAAUCAAACUAAUCAAAGACUAGCUAAUUUUGCUGUGAAUAACUUUUCAGCAACUCAAAUUCACUUGACAGCCGUUUUAAAUCUAACAGCCGAUUAGUAUACCUAUACUUUGACAAACGUUUCAGAAACCGGGCGUUAGGAUUU
This 1251-nucleotide unclassified non-coding RNA is filed under the name Melitaea cinxia (Glanville fritillary). RNAcentral describes it as "misc RNA ENSMCXG00005006965.1". Lineage: Eukaryota; Metazoa; Arthropoda; Insecta; Lepidoptera; Nymphalidae. The record is from RNAcentral.